CCUACGGGGAGCUGCAGUGGGGAAUAUUGGACAAUGGGCGAAAGCCUGAUCCAGCCAUGCCGCGUGUGUGAAGAAGGCCUUCGGGUUGUAAAGCACUUUCAGUGGGGAAGAAAGCCUUGGGGCUAAUACCCUCGAGGAAGGACAUCACCCACAGAAGAAGCACCGGCUAACUCCGUGCCAGCAGCCGCGGUAAUACGGAGGGUGCGAGCGUUAAUCGGAAUUACUGGGCGUAAAGCGCGCGUAGGCGGUCUGAUAAGCCGGUUGUGAAAGCCCCGGGCUCAACCUGGGAACGGCAUCCGGAACUGUCAGGCUAGAGUGCAGGAGAGGAAGGUAGAAGUCCCGGUGUAGCGGUGAAAUGCGUAGAGAUCGGGAGGAAUACCAGUGGCGAAGGCGGCCUUCUGGACUGACACUGACGCUGAGGUGCGAAAGCGUGGGUAGCAAACAGGAUUAGAUACCCCAGUAGUC
This 465-nucleotide ribosomal RNA is filed under the name Vreelandella stevensii. Its description in RNAcentral is "partial 16S ribosomal RNA". It matches the Rfam family "Bacterial small subunit ribosomal RNA", at positions 338 to 795 of the family's 1533-position model. The record is from RNAcentral. Lineage: Bacteria; Pseudomonadati; Pseudomonadota; Gammaproteobacteria; Oceanospirillales; Halomonadaceae.